UUGUUGUCCAAUAAAAUAGGUGUUGCUUUAUCAACGUAAAAGGGAAUCUGGUGAGAGUCCAGAACUGUACCCGCAACUGUAAUUGCUGAUGAAAUAAGGAAAUCCACUGUGAAUGUUUUCAUGGGAAGGCCUUAAAGUAAAAUGACGCAAAAGUCAGGAGACCUACCUAUUUUAGAUCGUACUA
RNAcentral lists this non-coding RNA (184 nucleotides) under Halalkalibacter akibai. The record is from RNAcentral. Lineage: Bacteria; Bacillati; Bacillota; Bacilli; Caryophanales; Bacillaceae. RNAcentral also lists the same sequence under 1 other name.